CUUGCUUCUCUGAUGUUAGCGGCGGACGGGUGAGUAACACGUGGAUAACCUACCUAUAAGACUGGGAUAACUUCGGGAAACCGGAGCUAAUACCGGAUAAUAUUUUGAACCGCAUGGUUCAAAAGUGAAAGACGGUCUUGCUGUCACUUAUAGAUGGAUCCGCGCUGCAUUAGCUAGUUGGUAAGGUAACGGCUUACCAAGGCAACGAUGCAUAGCCGACCUGAGAGGGUGAUCGGCCACACUGGAACUGAGACACGGUCCAGACUCCUACGGGAGGCAGCAGUAGGGAAUCUUCCGCAAUGGGCGAAAGCCUGACGGAGCAACGCCGCGUGAGUGAUGAAGGUCUUCGGAUCGUAAAACUCUGUUAUUAGGGAAGAACAUAUGUGUAAGUAACUGUGCACAUCUUGACGGUACCUAAUCAGAAAGCCACGGCUAACUACGUGCCAGCAGCCGCGGUAAUACGUAGGUGGCAAGCGUUAUCCGGAAUUAUUGGGCGUAAAGCGCGCGUAGGCGGUUUUUUAAGUCUGAUGUGAAAGCCCACGGCUCAACCGUGGAGGGUCAUUGGAAACUGGAAAACUUGAGUGCAGAAGAGGAAAGUGGAAUUCCAUGUGUAGCGGUGAAAUGCGCAGAGAUAUGGAGGAACACCAGUGGCGAAGGCGACUUUCUGGUCUGUAACUGACGCUGAUGUGCGAAAGCGUGGGGAUCAAACAGGAUUAGAUACCCUGGUAGUCCACGCCGUAAACGAUGAGUGCUAAGUGUUAGGGGGUUUCCGCCCCUUAGUGCUGCAGCUAACGCAUUAAGCACUCCGCCUGGGGAGUACGACCGCAAGGUUGAAACUCAAAGGAAUUGACGGGGACCCGCACAAGCGGUGGAGCAUGUGGUUUAAUUCGAAGCAACGCGCAGAAACCUUACCA
This 914-nucleotide ribosomal RNA is filed under the name Staphylococcus aureus. RNAcentral describes it as "bacterial SSU rRNA". It matches the Rfam family "Bacterial small subunit ribosomal RNA", at positions 79 to 976 of the family's 1533-position model. The record is from RNAcentral. Lineage: Bacteria; Bacillati; Bacillota; Bacilli; Caryophanales; Staphylococcaceae.